CCCAGCCUACCCGUCAGCGACCUAGCACUGCCCAGCCCUCCCGGAGCUUGGGUCCGUGGUUGCCGGGAAACCUUCGGUGAGCUUCCUCAGCGUUCUGAGGUUGCUAGGAGACGAGACGACGCGGGCCCAAGGGAGAGAGCAUGUGCAGCCCGGGCUCCGGGGGGCAGACAACGUUCGGGAGGGGUGCCGAUUUCCAAGCUGAGGGUUCGAGGGAGCUGGGAGACUGGAGUGAGUUCUCUCCUGGUCCCUCCUGACCCCCCCCGCCAGACAGAAGCCAGGUAAGAGGCUCUGUGUCCCACAUUCCAGCAGGCCAUCUGUGUCCCCCUGGGCUCUACCCCCACAUUCCAGGCAGCAUCCCAGUGUCCAAGCACCAUCCAGAGGCGGGGUGAUCGCUGGCUGGGAAGGCUGGGGAAGGCUCCUCCAGGGGAGGGGGAGGGGGACUCAGUGGUCUCUGAAAUCCCUUCUCACCUCAAAGACCAGAAUUCAGAGAGUCUCUAGUCUGUGAGGCUGAGAUGCCAUACUUGGACUCCAAGAGUCUGUGGCCUUAUCACCUUCUAGACUUCUUGAGGUGCAGAAACCACAUCCCAUUGGAACAGAGCCUAGCACAAUGCCCACAACAGGUGCUUCAUAAAUGUUUGUGGUUUUUGCUGUCUUAUGACUCUGACAUUCUGUGAUCUAAGAUCCUGUGGCUCUAAGGUUCUAGUAUGUGGUACUGACCAUAAGGGUUAGAACACCUGUGGGGAUCCUAUGGACUUUGGGACCUCAGAACACUGGAUAUCUGAGCUGGGAAGGGAGGGCCUUAGAACAGGAAAUGUCAGAGCUGGGAGGGGCCUUAGAACAGGGGAUGUCAGAGCUGGGAGGGGCCUUAGAAGAUAGGCACUUUGAGGGCUGGACCUGGCCCACAGGAAUGUGAACCCAGGAAUCCUGGUGCCUUGUGGUCUGUGAGGCUGCCAGUAACAGCCAAGAACAGGCAUUCCAGCACAGUCAUUUAACAUUCACUAAGCCUCUGCUAAGUUCUAGGCACUGUGCUAAGCACACAGAAAAACAAAGCCAAUCCCUGCCCUCAUGAAGCUUACAAUGUAAUGGGAGAAGACAGUAAGUUGGGGGUGAUGGAGAGUUCUACAGUGUAGCUGGUGGAGACAGGAGAAAGACGCUGAGCUGCUUUUUAGACACAGGCCCCGUUCUCCUGCCAUGGGGUCUUCCCAAAGCUGAGAAGUUGCUUCCCAGGGAGCUGGGUCAAACUGACAGGGGAAAGAGUCCCCCACCCACUGCACACACGUCCCCUGUGCCCCCAACACCAUAGGGUGACACCCCCCCACUGCCCUCCCCCAGCCCAGCCGCCCUGCCUGGCAGUGCCAAGGAUGCCCCACCCAGGGGGUCCCGGGCCGUCCUGCCGCCAAGAAGAAUAUGUCUGGAGGCUAACCCAGCUCCUGGGCUCAGUGUCCCCUGGGCGAGGAGAGCUCAGCCCCUGCAGCUCGGACUCCAUCUGUACGGAGGACUUUGCCGCUUGCUUCCAAGAGGCCAUGGUGGAGGCUGUGCUGCCUAAGGAGCAGGAGGAGGGGGCCCGUGCCAGAAGCCCUGAGUCCCUGGGGGGGGCCACAUCUCCCGGCUGAGCCAGGGCUCCACUCCCCAGCCGCUCAGCUCCUGGGGCUGCCAGCAGCCCCCCAAGGAGGAGUGUUCCUCACUCCCGGAGGACCCCAGCCCCAGGUCGGGCCCACCUGCACCAGGCGCUGCAGGGCCUAGAUCUCUGCCCCACUUGGGGGGCCCCUUCCCUGAGAAGCGGAGACACAAAAGAGAUUCUGGAGUUGGGCAGGCGAGAAGCCAGAGUGGGGGCCUUGAGGCAGCCGGCCUCCACACUGGGAGCAGGAAUCCUCGGCCCUGUCUUCGCGCUUCUCCCCACAACAGAAGGGUCCACUGGGCCCCAGAGCCAUCCCUGAACGUCCGGCCUGAUGGUCCAGCCUGGGAGGCCCCAGCCCUGAGGCAGCUGUCCAGGCCUUUGGCAGGACCCCAGGACCCCAAGCUGUUUCUGGGUAGGCUCCCAGCAUCUCCCUGCAACCCUGGAUCUCUCCUCCCAUCCUGCCCACUGGAAUACCCAUCUCCUGGCUCCCAGAAACAACAGCCCAGCCUUAGCCACAGACAGGGGCUUAAAAAAGAGCAGGAGACCCCAGGGGACCCCAAGCCCUGGAAAUGGAGCAAGAAACCAGAAAGGAUGAAGGAUGGCAAGAUUUUGAAGAACAGGGAGGAGUGGGUAGCUGGGGGCACACACAGAGCAGGAAAGGAGAAGCCAGACGUCUCUGUUCAGGAUGGAGGCCCUGGGCAGUUCAGAGUUAUGGGAGCUACGAACACCAAGCACGGAGUAGCCCAGGCAGAUUCUGGCACAAGUGGGAGAUAGCAGCAGCUGAUGCCUGAGACUCCAGCCGGUGUGGAAGCCCCCAGGCCCGGGAGUCCUGGACUUGGGCUGAAGUUCGUCGGGGCCCUGCUUGAGGCUGCCCGCUGCCGCCUCGGGGAUGUGAUUCAGCAAGCUGAAAUCCUGCAAGAGGCCCUGCAGGAGCUGCAGAGGAACAGGCUGGCAUCCAUGCCCGGUGGCUGCAAGGGCCCAGAGUCUUCUGCUGUGGGCCAGGAAUACAAUGUGGAUGGAAGCGCAGCAUCCCCCAGCCUGGCCUGGUCAGGCCCACUCUCAGAGGGACCACUGGGGCGGGGCCGAGGAAGGGCCCACCUGCCCAUCAAAGCAGGCUUCCGGAGGGCCUAGGCUUCAGCCUGGGGAGAUUCAUGGGAGGGCAGGCCCCAGUCCUGUCCUUAGCCUGAGCAGCCCAGAAACACCAGGUAGAGAACCCUCUGACAGAGACUGUGACGACCAGAAGGUCGGGCCUUCAGAACAUCAAGGCGGGAAAAGACCUCAGCGUCCCCCGAGUCCAGUCCACACCUAACUACGCGUCGUGUCAACAAGUGGACAUCCCUCAUCUGUUUGAAGACCCCCAGUGACGGGGAGCUCACCACCUUCUCAGGCAGCUCUUUCUGUUUGGGGAUGGUUCUCAUACUUAGGAAAUUUUUCCAGGCCUCAGGUCAAAAUCUGUAUCUUUGCAACUCCCCCUCCCCCGACCCUCCCACCCACCCAGGGGUCCUGGUUCUGCCUUCGGGGACAAAGCUAAUCCCUCUUUCCCACGGUUAGCCCUUUCAAAUACCUGAAGAUGGCUCUCCUGGCUCCCUGAGGUUUCUCCAGAUUCCACGGCCUUGGCUCCUUCGACCCUCCCUUUUCAGGCCCUUCCCUGUCCUGGUCACCCUCCUUUAGAGGCCCUCCAGCUGACUGAUGUCCUUCUUAAACCGUGCUGUCCAGCUCUGAGCGCAGCCUUCUGCUGUGGUCUGACCAGGAGAGAGGCCCCUGGGAUCCCCAUACCCCUCCGGUGGAGCCUGAGUCCUCUGCUAAUUCAGCCAAAGGCCCCAUUGCCUUCUGUGGCUGCCACAUCACACCGGGAAGGCAGUCCACCGAGACCCCCAGAUCUUCCUCUAGCCAUGCGUCCUACAUCUUGUGACCUUGUCCUAAGAGGAGAGAUGGAACCAAAGGACCUCGAUUCACCUUCUGGCCCCGCUCUGACACCUUGGACGAGUCAUUUCUCUCGGCCUUAAUUUUCUCAUCUAUAAAACGAAGGGCUUGGGCUCUCAUGGCCCUUCCGGCACUAAAUCUACGGUCCUAUAAACGUUUAUCUCUAUUAAACUUCUCCAGUAACAAGCAUUUGUUUUUUCUCAUUCCCACCCCUGUCUCCCCUCUCCCAUUGAGAAAGAAAGACAAACAAGACCCUCGGGUCGGCGUCCACAGCCAGACAUCCCCGCGGGGGCCGCGGCCCACACGCUGAGCCCGCAGCCUCACUCGGGAGGCGGGGAGCAGGCCCGAGAGGUCCGGCCCCGGAGUCACAGUCCUCAGCCUUUCAAAGGCGUUUGUCCUAAUCCGCCGCUGCUUUGGUGAACCGGCGCUCCUCCGCGCUGGGGCCCGGCCUCCUCCGUAAGUCUGACCUCGCGGCAUGCACUUUUUCUACCUCCUUUUCUUCUGAACUUUGUGCUGUCCGGGAAUGUGAUGAGGAGGAGAGUGCAUCGCCGAGAAAGGGCCGAUCCCUGGGGCGCCCCGCUAGACGCCUCCGUGUUGCCAUUAAAGACGGCUUUUCCAGUCUGAGGAUCCAAGUACUGUAUAGUCUGGCCCAUGGUUCUCCCUUUGCCACGAGGAAGCACAAGAGGCCAAAAGGGGUUAGAUCAUCAGGAGGCCUCAGAGGACCUGGGAUCCCCAGCGUCUGCGGAAAUCUGUGAACGUCUCCCUGGGGAAGUGGGCCAGAAGCUGAGACCUAGCGACGUGAAGAGCUGAGGGGGGACUAGGGGUGCUGGGGAAGUAGGGAGCCACCACUAGCACCCUGAAACAGGACAGGGACCUCUGCGUCCUCCAGUGGGAAUGGGGCCACAGAACGCCAAAAUUGACUCAGGGCUGGAAGCCAAGUCUGAGCGGAGCCACGUGGCCCAGACUGGGCCUUGACCAAACACUCCCGAGUGUUCCUCCAGCCUUUCCUUGAAGAGGGAAGCCCCGCUGCCUCCUGCAGCAGCCCGUGCUGCUUUGGGACCCCCUCCUGGUGAGGACAGCUCCCCGGGAUCACGACCCCCCUGAGGCUUCGCUUCUCAUCCUGAGGCUGUCUGAGGCCCCUCCUUCCGAGGCUCCUGCUGUCCUAAGUUCCAGCCUCUUCUGGUCCUUCCUCAGUUGUAAUGCCACACCUGGGGCUGCUGUGGCCUCCCCCCACGGCCCUUCUCCUGGCUCUCCCUGCCUGGGUUCGGCUGUGUGGACCGGCCCGGGAGAGGGACGGGGCAAUGACUGCUCCAUUCUUAAAGGAUCCAUGGCAGGGGCCGAGGAAGGGCCAGGGUUCUUCCAGAUCGCUGUUCCCUCAGUCUCUGUAUCUCUGCCCCUCACAGCAUGUCUCCGGCCCCUCUGAGGCUCUGCUGGGGUGGGGGAAGAGGCUGUGUCCUUGGCCCCAUGGAGACUUGUCAGGGCAGAGGACCCAAAGCCCUUCUUCCCCCCAACUCCUGUGAACCCCAAAUUGGUCUCUGACCUGAUUCUGGCUCUUUUGGGGAACCCCUAGCCUUCUUCAAGUCAAUGGGAUGGAGAUUCCUGAACCCAGGGGAAAUCUGACCUGAAUUGUACCUCCCUGGGGCCUGCCUCUGUCUCCCCCAGCCCAGAGCUCCCCAAGGAGGGGGAGGGCAGGCCCGCAGGCCGGCAGGCCGUCCUAGAGGCUCAGCCCAGGUUAAUGAGCGCUGACCUUUCCCAUAAACAAUGUGUCCCAGGCCCCUAAUUAGCCCAUUGUCCUCAGCCCCUGCUGGGAGGAACUGCAGAGGGCGGGGCAGGACCAGGAUGGGGCCUUUUGCUGAAGAAACGCAAAUUCUCUGCCCAGGCCAAGACUUCACCCCACACCCACCCACUCCCUCAGUGGAGAACUGGUCCAAGCCCCGCCCAUUUCCUAUGCAGCAAACAGGGACCCUGCAGGCAUCCCAAGGACUACUAUGCAGUGGGGGAUGGGAGGAGGGAGACCUUCAGGGGCUAGAGAAGAGGCCAUGGAACUGGGAAUAUCAGAGAUGGAAGGGGGCUUAGAACAGGGGAUGGCCGGGCUGGCAGGGGCCUGAGGACAGGGGAUGUCAGAGCUGGGAGGGGCCUGAGAACAGGGGAUGUCAGAGCUGGGAGGUCCACCAUUCUGGGCCUUGGUAUCUUCUUGGCAGGAAGAUGAGGCCGAGGCCUGUGGGAACCUGUCUUCUUCUCCAGCUCAGCCACCUCAGGCUGGAGGAGGGGCAGGAGGCCAGCUGGACCCUGUGCCCAUCACCUAUCCCUCAUCACUGUUGCCAGGCUCACUGAGGCACGGAAUGAGGUGGUGACUGAGGCAGCCCAUUCACCUCCCGUUCAUUUAUCUUGGGAAAAUAAACAUGCCCUUCCAGGAAUUGUAUCCUGAGAGACCCCUCCCUCCUUCUGCACUCCCUCCCUCCCUCCAGCAUCUGGCCCCUGUCUCAUAGGGAGACAGGCCAAAGCCUCCACGGUUGCAUAGGAUUGGGCCUGCCUUGAGGUAACAGCUGCCAAGGCCCAGGCUGGGGGACACUUGGCACAGAAAGGGGCAUUUCCCCCAUUUUGGCAGAUGGGGAAACUGAGGCAGUGGGGCUUGGGGGCUAACCUGACCUGCCAGUCACAUUUCCUGGAAGACACCAGCCAGGACUGACAGAGAAUGCAGGUGAUCAGGCUCUUCUCAUUUGCCCUGUCUGCGUGACACUUCCCGGGCUACGUCAGACUCUAGGCGCCAGCAUUCAGGUCCUAACGUGAGUCACUGGAUUGGCAGAGGCAGAACCAUCCCAGAGUUCAGGGCCCCUGAACUGGGCACCCCCGAGAAAUGCUGGCCGGCGCCUGACUGCCCACUCCAGAGUGAGCACGUGGAGAGAUGGUCCCAACUGUCAAGUUUUCAACUCCUGUCUAGGGCAUGAAACAGUCAGGGACUGGGGCAGAGAAGCGAUUCUCCCCAUCCCGCCCCUCCAUAGGUCCAUUGAAUGCCAGAGCUAGGAAGGACGUAGAACACUGAAUAUUAGAUAUGGGAAGGACCUUAGAACCUUGAAUGUCAGAGUAGGAGGGCCCUUAGAACCCGAAAGUCAGAGCUGGGAAUGACCUUAGAACCUUGAGUGUCAAAAUAGGGGUUACCUUAGAACCUUGAAUGUCAGAGCAGGAGGGUCCUUAGAAUCUGAAAGUCAGAGCUGGGAACAACUUUAGAACCCAAAAGUCAGAGCUGGGAAUGAUCUUAGAACCUUGAAUGUCAGAACAGGGGUCGCCUUAAAACUCUGAAUGUCAGAGCAGGAGGGUCCUUAGAACCUGAAAGUCAGAACAAGGGUCACCUUAGAACCUUGAAUGUCAGAACAGGGAGGUCCUUAGAGCCUGAAAGUCAGAGCUGGGAAUGACCUUAGAACCUCAAAUGUCAGAACAGGGAUUGCCUCAUAACCUUCAAUGUCAGAACCCUGACAUUUGUUAGAAUCCUGAAAAUUAAAACUGGAAGGGACCUUGGAACCGUGAAUGUCUCAGCAGAAGGGCCCUUAGAAUGUAAUUUUAUUUCCUCAGUUACCCCAUUGGUAAAAAUGAGGAAAAUGCCCCUUCCUCUGUCAGGUGUCCCCCUCCCUUCAUUUCUAGGGGUGAUCUUUGAAGGAUAAUCUAAGCUAAUUUAUUACCAGUCUGGGCCCCUGCAACUCUUACCUCAGAGAGUCCUAAAUCCUAGUUUCUCUCGUCCUUAAAAAAUCACCUCAGACAAGGGGGUGGGGGCUCCCGAUGCUCCCUGUGGCUCUGGACCUGGAUGCUCGGAAACGUGCUGGCCUCCCUUCCCGGGCCCACCCUCCUUCAGCUCCCAGGGCCUCCUCCCCUCCCGGAGGUCCUUCUUGAGCUUCCAGAACCAGACUGAUGCCUCAGCAGCAGAUGGGGCGGGAUACGAGGUCCAUGGGAUGGGAGAGUCAAGGGACUUUUUUGGUUUGGGUUGGGUUUAAUUUGAAUUUUAGUUUAAUUUUAAUUUAAGAACGAGGGUCGGUCUCCAGUCCCAAAUCCAGCAGACGGAUGCUUAGAUGUACCCAGCCCUCCUCAGAGAGGUGGGGGACGUCGGGCACGGAGGCACACGUUCCUUUUCAGAUCUGCCAGAUGUAUCGACAGAUUUUGCUUGAUUUGAAAGCAGAAUCCCGGCCAGGGCAGCCAGCCCUCAGGAAACAGAGAUGAUAUUGUUUUACAAAGCAAAGAAAACUGCAGGGCCAGAAGAUGGACACAGUCCAAUCCAACCCUCUUAUGCUUCAGAAGAGGAAACUGAGUGACAGCCAGGACUUGCCUCCAAGUUAGAAUCAGAAGCCAGGCUCUCUGUCUUUCCCAUCCUUACCCAUCGACAAACAUACUUGAAGAAUCAGGACGAAUUAGGGGACCCUGGGCCUGUUUGCAGACAACAAAGGAAGAAGGCAGGGGCUGAAGGGGGCACUAAGUCUGGGGUCAAAUGACUGGGCCCCCUGUGAAGGGCAGAUGAUUCCUGGGGUCCCCCAGGCCCUCUCCCUGCUUGCUGUUAGCCCUCAGGAGAGAGAGUCAGACACCGCUCAGGAUGGCAGCCCCCACCAGGUGUGAAGAGCCUUUGAAAUGAACAAUUCCUGUCCCACCAACUGGUGCUCUGGGGGGCUCCAAGGGGGCUCCAGGCUGCCUGGCCUGGGGGAAGGAGUUAAUUAAAGGGGAUGCUGAGGCCUGAGCCCUGCCCCUUCCUCGGCGGGGCCUCCUGUGUUCCCUGAAGGCAGGGUCCAAGGCAGGCCAGAUGUUAUUGUGAGGGGAGCAGGGAGGGUCCCUGGAGCCCAGCGGAGGAAGGAAGCCUGGAGAAGGGGGCCCUCCCUUUGGACUGUCCCUCACCCUUUCCCCAGAAUCCAUCUCACUUUGCUGACACCCUCCCCCCCAGCCCAGGGGUUGUUUUUACCUUUGUAAAAUUUUGUUUUGGUAUUCCUAUCCCUUAGCAUGGGACCUUACAUAUAGU
Non-coding RNA from Phascolarctos cinereus (koala), 8534 nucleotides. The record is from RefSeq and is a predicted model, not a curated record. NCBI's taxonomy places the organism in Eukaryota, Metazoa, Chordata, Mammalia, Diprotodontia, Phascolarctidae.